CCUACGGGUGGCAGCAGUAGGGAAUAUUGCGCAAUGGGGGAAACUCUGACGCAGCAACGCCGCGUGAAGGAUGAAGGUUUUAGGAUUGUAAACUCCUGUUGUUAGAGAUGAUUAUUACGGGUACUAACGAAUAAGCACCGGCUAACUACGUGCCAGCAGCCGCCGGAAUACGGAGGGUGCAAGCGUUUGUCGGAAUCACUGGGCGUAAAGAGAGAGUAGGCGGGGUAAUAAGUCAGAUGUGAAAUCCUGUCGCUUAACUACAGAACUGCAUUUGAAACUGUUACUCUGGAGUGUGGGAGAGGUAGGUGGAAUUCUUGGUGUAGGGGUAGAAUCCGUAGAGAUCAAGAGGAAUACUCAUGGCGAAGGCGACUUGCUGGAACAUUACUGACGCUUAUGCUCGAAAGCGUGGGGAGCAAACAGGAUUAGAUACCCUUGUAGUC
RNAcentral lists this ribosomal RNA (440 nucleotides) under uncultured bacterium. Its description in RNAcentral is "partial 16S ribosomal RNA". It matches the Rfam family "Bacterial small subunit ribosomal RNA", at positions 338 to 795 of the family's 1533-position model. The record is from RNAcentral.